RNAcentral lists this ribosomal RNA (253 nucleotides) under uncultured bacterium. Its description in RNAcentral is "partial 16S ribosomal RNA". It matches the Rfam family "Bacterial small subunit ribosomal RNA", at positions 524 to 776 of the family's 1533-position model. The record is from RNAcentral.
UACAGAGGAUGCAAGCGUUAUCCGGAAUUACUGGGCGUAAAGCGUCUGCAGGUGGACUUUUAAGUCCUUUGUGAAAGCCUGAGGCCUAACCUCAGUUUAGCAAAGGAAACUAAAAGUCUUGAGGAUGGUAGAGGUAGAGGGAAUUUCCAGUGGAGCGGUGAAAUGCGUAGAGAUUGGAAAGAACACCAAUGGCGAAAGCACUCUACUGGGCCAUUACUGACACUCAGAGACGAAAGCUAGGGGAGCAAAUGGG